GACAGGGUUUGGAGAGCUUCAGGGUGGGGAACGGGUGGAGAUUCUGGAAGGGUGGCGUGCUCCCAGAGAGCGUGGAAGCUCCACCCUUCCCCACCCCCCACCCCCCCACCCACACACCUUGCCCUGUGCUUGUCCUCUACCUGACUGUUCCUGAGUUACACCCUUUUAACAUAAACCAGGGAUCUAGCAAAUUAAUUCAACUCAAGGAGGAGGUCAUUGGAACGUGUUAUUUGUAGCCAGGCAUUCUGAGCCACAGCUGUUGCCGUGUUUAUAAGUGGUGUCCCUGGCUCUGUCUGCUGCUAAUGGUGAGGAAACUGAGACACUGAAAUGCGGGACCCAAGAGCUAUGCAGCAGAACCACAGCUGAGGCAGAGCUGCUGCUGCUUAAAAAAUCUUGAGCACCAGAGCUGAACCCGGAAGUAUUAAGACUACAUUGGAAUCUACUGGGUAAGUCCUUAAGGUUAUAUGGAAUAUUGUCCUGCACAUGAUUACAACUUUAAGUGACUACUUGUGACCAUGGUGAUGGCCUUUACUUGAUGCAAAGUAGUGAUUUAUCAUGGGAGCCAAGGACAGAUUGAUGCUUCAUCUGCCUAUAAGACCCAUGACGAAAACUGGUAGCCUAAGCCAGUGUCUGAUCAUCUCUCUAUACAAAUUCUCCUAAUGUUCAUAGUCUUCAUGGUCAAGACGAUUUUCCUUUAUAAUUUAAAUUUAUUUUUCGUCAUGUUUAUCUUUAGCUGCAAAAAUAAGUAGGAACUGGGUGCUCAUUCUGUAUUAAUCGCUGAUGGACCAUUAAUUGUUGAUGGACAAUUUAUAGAGAAGAUUCACAUGGCUGACGGUAUAUAUGGAUGACCUACCACAUGCAGGCCCCUGCAGGUGGCUUCUUUUGUUCUUGCUGAGGAAUCACCUCCUGAAGUCAUCAAGUACAAAUGGGGUAUCUGCUAAAUGUCUAACUUUAAGCACAUCGAGCCUAGAAUCCUUAUAUUUCUCAGAUCUUACUUUUUGUCCCUAAUAGAGCCACCACCAUAGCAUCAUUCAACAAAUAUAUGAGCCAUGAGUUAUGCUAAACCCUGCAGAACAUAGCUCUGAAUAAGGCUUCCAUUUCCCCAUUUCCCCUGAGCAGUCUUCUGAGGGAUAUCAAAUAGAAAAUGACCAAAAAAAAAAAAAAGGUAAUAACAGUACAGGUGUGGGAGGUACAUGGAACUUGAGGAUCACAGAGAGGUGCCCCUAGUCUAGCAGAGGGUGAGAGAAGAGUGCCUGGUUGAACUGACAUCAAAGUCAAGUUUUGGACAGUGAACAGCCAUUAACAGACUUUGGGGUGAGCUGGGUGAGGGCUGGGAAGGCACGAGCAGAGUCUUGUUAAAAACACAAAAUUCAGCUGAGUAAAUUAGUUUUGACAAAUGCGGUUUUAAACUCAGCUGAAGAUCUAAUUGGCUUUAUUAAACAAUGCAUAAAUCAGGGAGCACCCCAUCUAGCAAGUAGCAGGACUUUGCUGAACUAAACAAAAGAAAGGUUGUUAAAGACUGUGGGGGGGGGGGUCAUUAAAAAAAAGGAGAAGAAAGGGAUCUGUUAGCAAGGAGAGCAUCAUUUGGGCAAGGUGGCCCUCCUGAUGGGAACGGAAGCAGUCUAUCAGUACAUUUCCUAGUACUGACAGGAAAUUCUGUGUUGACUGGUUCGUUCCAUUCCUGGGAGGGUGAAACCGCAGUUACCUUGGAUUUUAAGUCUUGGUUUAUGGACUUGGCCUAAGUGACACCAUCUGGGGUCUGUGGUUGUCUUUUGAACAGCCUGUUGUAGGUUCUAGAAAGUGGAAGCACAUGUAUAAACUCUGCAGGCGAGGAAGAGCAUAGAAUACCUUAAAAACAGUGAUGGAAAUCAGUGUAGUAUGGCUGGAAUAUAAAGUACAGCUCCUACCUGAGCCCAUAGAGAUAGAGGUUCGGCUUCCAACCUGCAGGCGAAGGAGAACCAUCGCAGAGUGUUGGGAGGGGAGAGGCGUGAUCAGGUAGGCAUCUUAGAAAACCUACUCUGAGAGCAAUAGCGCUAUGAUUGAAGGAGGACAGGAGGGCCAUAAAGAUGCUGGGCAUACAAUCUAGGACUAAGAAUGGAGGCCGCCCCAAACACUUGCUUUUUUCCAUGUCCCCUGCAAGUAAAAGCCCCUUUGGGAACCGCAUCAACAAUUUAAGGGUGUUUUCAGUUAUUCUGGAGCAAUACUGUAAUCUCCUUCAUAAGAGAAAAAUGCUAUUUGCCAUCACUGAAAAACGCUCAAUUGGUAGUUCUCUGGGAGAAACUAUUCAGUUUGCUAAAAUUUAAAUACCCACAGAGUAAAAACAAAAGCAGCUAAUAAGAAAUGUGUCAUUGAAAUUGAACAGAAGCUAGAGAAGUCCCAUUUCUUGUUCUUUUUAUCUUUUCAAAAGCAUGGCUCCACAGCAAUUUACCCAUGUUAUCAUUCAUCCUUUGUAUCAUUAGCAUUUGGGAAAAUGCCUGAAACUGUCACCAUGAGACAAGCAACAUGUAGAAACUAAAAAUGCAGUUUGGGGAAAUUAGAAAAUAAAACUCUGAAGGAAGAGGAUUGAAUGUUUCAUUAAACGUAAAGAUGAUGCUAAAAAUAAAAUCCUUCCUGGCUUCAAGAGUUGUUGGCUACUGAAAUGUCAAAAUCAAUUAGGCCUUUUUUUUUUUUUUUUUUUUUUUUUGCAUGCUCUGUGGUGCAAAACCAAUUACUGUGACAGUCCCUGUCCUCAGGACACAGAGACCACAGAUGUGGGAGAUGAAACAAGGGCCAAUCUUGAGCCAAACAUUUAUUAAAGCAAGUACCAGUUUUAAAAAGUUGUUCAUUCAUUGGUUGUUAUUCAUUCACUCACUCAUGCCAGUCCACACUUUCAUAAGGCAGGGGGCAUGGGAGAAGUGCCAGGGGAACUGGGUGUGGGUCAUGUCCAUUGUAGGCUUGUUUGGCUCCAGGGGAAGUGUUAAGUCAUGGCCUUAAAUGGCCAAAACAAAGUGGAAAGUACUGUUGAUAGACACUGCUUUUGGUGCAAGUGGGUGAGGAUCAGAAGGGGAGUAGUGACCAGAGGGAGAAAAACAAUAGACUAGGCACUGUAUUUCGUGUAUAUAGGUGUUAGCUUAAAAAUAGGUCUCAUGUGGCAGGGACUGUAAUCACUCAUCUUUUAACAUGAGGGAAAUAAGACUUAGAAAAAUUUAAUAGUUCACUGGUCCUGGGAUAUUGGUUACUGUUGGCACCUGUUGGACUUCAUAGCACAUCAUUUUAUUUCUAGUCUAUUCUGAAUUAUAAGUUUGGUUUCAUGAUUUUGCAAACUUCACUCGGUAAAGGAACCACGUAUAUACUCUUCAAAUAGUAAGACAGAGGGCAAGAAGCAUGGAGCUGAAGAGUCCUGGGCAUCUCCUUUGGUGUGGUACCAGGAUAAUCAGUCCAGAUAAUGGGGCUCUGGGAUUUCAGGAUUUCCAGAUGCCAGAGAAGGCUUCCAGAAGAGAUGGGGGCAGAGCUGGACCUUGAAAGUGGGACCUGGGCAAAAGGGAGAUAAAGGGAAUCCUCAGAAGGGAAGAAAGCUGAGAAAAUUAAACCAUUUCUACAUUUCCCAGUAGGGUGACGUUGAUUCCAGUUCAGAUAACUCAGCAGAGACCUCUCUGUACCAAUGUCUGAGUUGAGGGGAGGAGACCAUGAAGUAACCCCAUGAAGACUGCACAGCAGAGACGAUCUAGGAUGUGGGGGUUGGAAGAGACAUAUUUUAGAGAAGCAGUCAGUGGUAGACAAGGAAAGGCUGAGCUUCUCCCUUAGUCCCCACUUGCCCCUUUCCAGUUAAGGAUAUGCACAGUGGAAAUUUUCUUAGUUUUGACAAAUGGAAUUUUAAACUUUUCUCUAGCCCCACCUGAUUUCCAAUCAGAAUGCAUUCCUGAACCCUGCUUAGAGCCAACCCUUCAGAGAAGGGUAAGUUAGGAGCAAGAUGAUUGCGGUUAUUAGCGUAUAUCACUGAUUUUCUGACUGUUGCUGUUUCCUCCUAUGUUUUAGAUUUAUCUACUGGUUUAUAGGUUUUCUUCUGUCCCUGGUUGAACAUACUAAUGAACCCUUUCAGCUAUGGAGAGUUCCUUUCUAUCUAAACAUGGUGAUCUCCAGUGAGGGUUAGAGCAGUUGGAGAAAUGAUCAAUUGUUGGAGCUAGAACAUAGGAUUUGGAGACUUUGGAUACGUUCCGGACAUUGAGUUUAGUCAUAGCUGAGAAAUAGGAACAAAUUUAUUUUUAUGAGAAUGGGAGAUGGGCGAGAAAUUAUUCUAGUUCCUCAUCUUAUUUACAGGAAAGCCAGCUGGAGGCAGGGGUAUGAGGGAUGUCCUACACAAAUCAGUGAUGUGUAGACAGAGACAGGAGGGAACAGUUUGGGUUCUGUCAGUAGCCCUUCACUUCCUCAUUGGAAGUUUGACUCGAUGAUGCGUGGCUCAGACCUCAUAAGCAGAUGACUGAUAAAUGGAUAGAAUUCUAAAGAGCUCAACUAUGUCUGUAAUGGUGGUAACUCAGUUGAAAUGGCCCUAUUGUUUAUAGGUGGAGUGAACUAUUGAGAUCGAAGACCAUUGACACAUAAAAUGUAGAGAAAGGAAAUACGUACAAUGGAAGCUGACAGCCCCCAAUGUGCCUUGGGGCAGCAGAAAAUUUCUAUAGUCCUUCACUUCAAUGCUGGGACAGUGAGGAUAGUGAAUUUUUGUUGGGAAGGUAGGAAUCUAUGCUUUGUCCCACUAUGAUCUUUUGACAUCUUAUAUGUCUGCUUGGUCAAUGAAGUUUCUUUUUGAGAUACCCAUGGUCUCUGUGACAGCUUUGUUCAAGCCUUGCAGUCAUUCAGUCCGCCACACUCCCACCCAAGAGCAGUGUGACUCCACUUGGGACAAUAGGAAUUACUGCCUGGGUAAAUCUUCAAGAACGAUCUCAAUUGAGCUGGUACAUAAUACAGAGUAAGUGUGAAAUAAUUCUGGUUGAACUAAUAGAAUAUUGCCCCACGGAGCAGGGACAGAAAGUAAAAAUAAAAUCUCUCAAUGGCAAACACUUGGCAGGAGGGUGAGGAUCAUGCUUUCCUUAUUCUCAAGUUAUAAAAUAUAUGCGUCAUGCAAAAUAAGUCAGUGGCACAGUUCUGUUCUUUUUUUUUUUUUUUAAUGUAAUUUAUUGUCAAAUUGUUUUCCAUACUGUUACGGAACCAGGCCAGAACGCUGGCGGAAAAACCAAGCAGCACUUGGACAUCUUGGUGGAUUGGAGAUUUAUUAAACACCAGCGGGCUCAGAGGAGACCGUUUCUUCAAAGAUCUGAGCCCCGAAUAUUAGCCACUCAAAACCCGCUAAGCACGCACCAGUAUGAACCCACAGCGCGGGCGUUGGAGACACAAACUGCUGGCUCCUGUCGUCAAGGGGAGCACUGCCUGACGGGAGAGAGGAGUGGCCACAGAGCAACACGGAUCAGGCCUGCAAACUGCCGAUUGCUGAUAGAUGGAGGUAGCCUGCCUUCUAAUUUGCAACGUGCCUUCACAUCCAUUGACUUCUGCCAGCGUUUCUCAAAGUGUGACCCAAGAAACAGAGAUAGCUAAAGAGUAAAUCCUUGGGGCUGGCCCCAAACUGCUGAGUUGGAAAAUGUGAGACUGGACCCCAGACACCUGAAUUAUAAACAAAUAGUGUCUCUUGCCUUUUUUGGCCCACUUCUCCAGUGAUUCUUCGGCACGUGGAAAUGUAAGAACUGCCACCGUACGUGAUCGUCACAAAACUCCUAUAAAGUAGUGAGCCAAACGGCAUCAGCCCAUUUCAGAAAUUAGGGCAGUGAACGUCGAAGAAGUUGAGUGGUUUUGUUUCAGAUGAUGCAUUGGUAUUGUGGCAGCUGGUUAGGGUGUGGUCCAGAGAGGCAGAGCGGGCAGCAAGGAGGCGCACAAGAGAAUUGCUGUCAGCCAGGAGCUUGAGGCACAGGAUGGAAAGUACAGUGUGGGCAUGGGAAGACUGAGCUUGGGACAGAAACGUCCCUUCAGGAGAGUUCGCACUUCAGCAGCUAAUCGUGGCAAGAGGCAGCCAGGGCCUCUGCAAGGGGGAGGGUAUUGGGUACGAGAAGGGGAAAGUAAUUCAUUCCCAUCGUUGGCAGGUUCCAUGUUUGCAAAUUCACCUGCUUGCUCAAAUGUACUUUGUAAUCCCCAAAUCAAUACUUAAGGUGCAUUUGCUGAUAUUCAUAGAUAUGCACAGAGCCGUGAACAAUAGUGCUCUGGGGUGUUUUGGUUUUGUUUUUGUUUUUGUGUCCUUUCUUAGUGAUUUUGCUGUUGAAAAUGGCUCCCAAGUGUUCCUGAGUGCAAGAGGGCUGUGGUAUGCCUCAUGGAGAAAAUACGAGUGUUAGAAUAAGCUUCAUUCAGGCAUGAGUCAUAGUGCUGUUGGCUGUGAGUUCUAUGGUAAUGAACCACCAAAGUGCGUUAAAUAAGGUGUUUUAAGAUGGGAGCAAACACAGGGUUCUGUAUCGAUCAGCUGAUGAAACUGUGAUUAAGGAAGGACUCAUAGGAACCUAAUCCUGUGUUUCCCUAGGAGCCGUGGUUCAGAGUCUACUAAUUUACUGUACUUGGUGACUUCAUAGAAUAUAGCUACCAGGAAUAACAAGAAUCAACUUUAAUUACUGGGGCAACAUCAGGUGGUAUCUCCUGGGUGUCAGAGACUCUGUGCUUUGGUGUAAGCGCCAUAAUCCUCAUCCCACCUGCAGUGUGUUUGCCAUGGUCUACAUGGCAGGGAUUAGGAUACAGACUCAGAAUUGAGUUGAUCCAAGCUCCCUAAAUGAAGAAAUGACAAACGCUACUUUGCCAUAGACAUUUCAGAGUCAGAACCAUCAAAAGAGUUUUACUUACUAUUGGGAUGGGUGGGCAAGGAAGCCGGGAGAGCCCCACUGACCAGGAAGCUGGUGAUGCUGCUAGAGAAAACUAUAGGCUAACAUUUUUGGUGGAAAAGCAGGACUUGAUUUGGGGUGUAGAUUUGGAAAUCACUCACGAAGAUGCAUUUAUAGUCAUGGGAGAGAGUGAGACACAACCCCCAAGCCCUAGAAGAGACAGAAUUUGAAAAACUUUCUAUUUCAAGGAAGAAGGGGGAGCAAAGAAACUAAGACAGAGAAAAAAAAAAAAGAAAAAAAGAAAAAAAAAGCAGGGACAGACUAGGAGAUUAGGAAGCAAAAAAUGGAUUUUCCAAAAAUGCAAACAGGAGAUGGCCCGUGGUGUGAGACACUCAGAAAGGUCAGGUGGGAUGAAGGCUGAGAAAAGGUCACUGCGUUUGCUGAUGGAAUGUCACUAGUGACCUUUGGGAGAGCAGUUGACGGUGGGGACAGAGGAUAGGGAAGUAGUGAGUAGGUCUGAGGCAACAGAGGCCGCUGAGCAGGACCACUCUCUACCGGGUGCAAGUCUCCAGAGGAGGAGAUGGAGGGAGAACUUUUUUGAGCGGAGACGGGAACCACCUUGGAGACAAGGAAGUGGAGUCCAGGGAAAAUGGAAAGGCAAGGGGAAGUGUCAUUUUGAAAACGGAAGGGAAUAGGAGGGGAAGAAUAAGCAGAUGUGUCCUUUGCAAAGAAAGGGAGACACUUCCUCUUCCUGAGGCUGCAUGCAGCUUGCAUGUGCUGAGGCCCGUGGAGACAGAAAUUGCAAGCUUUUAGGCUGAGAUCUAGGCUGCAAGAAUACACUGCAACACAGUUGGGACACCUGCUCUGGUGGGGUUUUCAGUCUCGGAGGUGCUACAUUGAGACCCCAUCGAUUCUAACUGGAGACUUUAGUCGUUUCCGGGAAUCUCGGUGCUGGGGAAAUAGACUGUGCUCUGAAGCAGAUGUAGUCGCUUGGCUACUUCUAAAAAGUUAUGACCUAGAAAUCUUGCUGAAUCCGUUUUUACCAUUAAUAACAACUAUUUAGUGCUGGCAUUUUUAGGCAGACACCUUGUUUAAGUUCUUUGCAAGUGAAACAAAGACUCACUUAAAUCCCUCACGUAGGUUAAACGUUUCCCGUUCUCUCUCGUCUGUUUUCCUUAUUCAUCAAGAAACCUGGCAAACCUUUUUAACUACCGAUAUUGCAGAGGCAAAGUUCAGUCAGGCUUGUGUUACGUUGUCGCAAUACCCCCAGAUUAAUAAGAUCUGACUACCCAACGCCGUUUGCCGGCUGGACCUGAGUGCCCUUAAUUGCCCUGCCCACGGGAACGGGAAAGUGGGGUAGGCAGUUUCACUGCUCUUGGUUAUGGCCUCUCAGUGAUAAAAUGCUUCCAGACCUAGAAUGUUCCAAACAGCCUGUUCCCUGGGAAAUGCUGUGUAGAAGCUGAUGGGUAGCUUGCUCAGUCGAGCCCAGCCAAGAGAAUUGAGAUAUUAAAGUUGGAGAUGCUGGUAUGCUGGGGAAGCAGUUCUAACCCUGGGUCUGGCUCAGAGCUGUCACCGUCCCUGCCCUGCCCUGGGUCACAGAAAGAAAUUGCUCACCUCCCUUGACACCACUGUUCGGGAGCCUGCUGCCUGGCCUCUGCCCUCAGGCUCAGCCUUUCUCCAGGGCUUCUGCAGUAGGAUAGACCUAGACGCAAAAAUCAGCUCUUGGCCUUACACUUAGACUAGCGCAACUUCCUGAGCAUCUCUGAGCCUGGAAAAUGGGAGCACAGGCUCCUUGGAGAUGCAGACAGGAUGCAGCGGGUAAGAUGCCUAAUGGGCAGCAGCAGUCAGGGCUUACUGCUCUCACGUAUGCAUCUUAGAUGGCAAGCGAUUUUCUGUUUCCAACCCUUUUGAUCGUUGUUUCCAUCUCAGAUUCUGGCAAAGUGUGUUCAUUGUGACAAGUCAAACAAUACAGCAUUGUGCAAAGAAAACCAUAAUUCUUUCCCUCCCCCGCUUCCAGCACCUCAUCCACCCUUCCAGAAGUAUCCAUCGCUAAGGUUUGUGGGUAAUCUCCCAUGUUUCUCCCUGCUCGCACUGACACAUGCAUAAAUGUCAGGGACUUUAUUCCCCUCUAAGUACGUAUGCGUAUUGUUCUUGGUGUUGUUUUACAAAAAAUAGGAUCAAGUGUACUCUUACUGCUUUCACAGAUGUCUCUCUAGGUCAAUAUUACAAAUCAACUUAUUCUUUUGAAGAGCCAUGUUAUCCUAAACAGCCUGUUAAUAAUAUAAUCAGCUCAUAAUAUAACGCCACUGUAAUCGUCUCAACCAGCUUCCUACUGAUGGAGAGUCAGUCUAUUUAUAGUUUUGUUUCUCCAGCAUAAAUAUUGUCAUUAGCACUAUUGUUCUGUAAUAGGCAUAAAACUGGACCACGGUUUGGAUGGGAAAACCAGACUCCAUAAGUCUCAUUCUGCGUUAUUUUUUUCUUCUGCCCUCACUUCUCCUCUCUUCUUUCUCCCCCCCCCCCACCUCUUCUUGCCCUCACAAACCACAGCUGGGCCUCAGUCCUGAUAAACCUGGAAACAAGGGGACAGGGAAGGUUUGUUUCCAAUCCUGCAUUUUAUUGGAUCUGGCCUUGAGGGAGCCUGUCGUCAUUUCAUGAAGUGACUUUGCAGUCCCUAAGGAAAUCCCUAAGCAAAGGUCUUAGGUCAGUAAAUUAGCAGGCUGUGUUCUCCCUGCUUGGUGGGCACCCUAAUAGGGUCAUUUUGUUCCCUUAGUGUCCUCAGGAAAAUCAGAAAUAUGAGAUUCCCUUAAGCAGAGGAAAGCUCUUACUGCAUUCCGGGGUAUCCAUAGUGGAAAUUUCCAACAAAUUCCAUUACCAGUGGCAUUUUGCGAUUUGCAGGCUUAGGUGCGUCAACUGCUUCUAAGAGUUUAGCUCCUUCCUUCUUCCCAUACCCUCUGCCUCUGGCACAUACAGACGCUGAGCUGAUUUUAAAGCCAGAGACCCAAAGUCUUAGCCCAUCCUGCUGUAAUGGGGGUGCCUACAGGUGACCAACACUGGACACAUAAUGACAGCAGACCAAGGCUGGCAGAGA
Long non-coding RNA from Felis catus (domestic cat), 9912 nucleotides. RefSeq lists it as uncharacterized. The record is from RefSeq and is a predicted model, not a curated record. NCBI's taxonomy places the organism in Eukaryota, Metazoa, Chordata, Mammalia, Carnivora, Felidae. The transcript is spliced from 6 exons.